Camellia sinensis is the source of this 631-nucleotide long non-coding RNA. RefSeq lists it as uncharacterized. The record is from RefSeq and is a predicted model, not a curated record. NCBI's taxonomy places the organism in Eukaryota, Viridiplantae, Streptophyta, Magnoliopsida, Ericales, Theaceae.
UUAUUCUUUAGUAUAACAAACAUACAAAAGUAAAAAAAAAAAACCCUAACAACAAUUCAUUUGCUCAGCCGCAACUAGAGAGAGCUGAGGUCGCUCAUUCUCUCAUCUCAUACCAGUCUCUCUCUCUCUCUCGUUUUUCAUCGCCGAACGACCUCUGUCUACUCAUCGCCGAUCGAUCGAUCAACCUCUGGUUUGUCAUCGUCGAUCGACCUCUGUCUGCUCAUCAACCGAUCGACCUCUGGUCUGUCUGCUCAUCUCUAACUUUGCUUUCUCAUCGCCAAUCGACCUCUGGUCUGUCUUCUCAGUGCUCAUCCCUAACUUUGCUUUCUUAUCGCUGAUCGAGCUCUGAUUCACAGGUAUGUUUUUUUCACUCUAUUUGUUUACAGAUUCACAGGGUUCAUUAACCAAAUGCAUGGAAUUGAAAUUUUUAGAACUUUAUUUUAUUUUACAACAAUUUUAUUUUAUUUUUCUCUUGCAUUUUGGAAGAAUGUAAUAGUUAAUGAAGUUUGAAUGAUUUUAUUUUAAUUUUGGAUGAAUGUAUAUGUAAUAGUUAAGCUUAGGAUUUUGAAUGAUCUUAUUUUAAUUUUGUAUUAUUGCGUAGUAGUAGUAGUAGAUGAAGAAUGGAAAAAAA